Non-coding RNA from Vicia faba (fava bean), 231 nucleotides. The record is from the annotation of a GenBank genome assembly. Lineage: Eukaryota; Viridiplantae; Streptophyta; Magnoliopsida; Fabales; Fabaceae.
AUGUUUAUCACUUUGCUUUGCAGUAUCAAAGGUUCAUACAGUAAUUCACUUGGUUCCGCUGGUUGUCCAUUUUAUUGCUCAUAUUCGGGAUUCAAGGUGGACUACAUAUUAGGCGAAAAUCCUCUAAGAAUGUCCUAUAUGGUAGGGUAUGGUCCAUACUUUCCUAAGAGGAUUUUCCAGUGGUUCUUCAUUGCCUUCACUAUCAGUUCAUCUACAAACAAUAGGCUGUGA